CAGAUUUUAGUCGUGAGAUGAUUUAUUCUGAGGUACUUUCACAUACCUGAAUGUCAUUUAAAAACCAAAAAACACCACGAGGAAGAGACGCAGCGUUUUCUCCUGAGCGUGAAGUUGGCUUUUGGUGCUGCUUGUGCAGCUGCCAUGGGUCGUUGAUGAUCGUUCUUCUCUCCUUUUUUGGGAGAGGGAGAGGGAGAAAACGCCGUCUGAGUGGU
Small nucleolar RNA from Dama dama (fallow deer), 215 nucleotides. RefSeq annotates it as small nucleolar RNA U3. The record is from RefSeq and is a predicted model, not a curated record. The transcript has a single exon. Lineage: Eukaryota; Metazoa; Chordata; Mammalia; Artiodactyla; Cervidae.